GAUGAAGAACGCAGCGAAAUGCGAUAAGUAAUGUGAAUUGCAGAAUUCCGUGAAUCAUCGAAUCUUUGAACGCAUAUUGCGCCCUCUGGUAUUCCGGAGGGCAUGCCUGUUCGAGCGUCAUUAUAACCCCUCAAGCUCAGCUUGGUGUUGGGGCCUGCCGCACGGGCAGCCCUUAAAAUCAGUGGCGGUGCCAUCUGGCUCUAAGCGUAGUAAUUCUUCUCGCUAUAGAGUCCCGGUGGAUGCUUGCCAUUAACCCCCAAUUUUCUAUGGUUGACCUCGGAUCAGGUAGGGAUACCCGCUGAACUUAAGCAUAUCAAUAAGCGGAGGA
This 328-nucleotide unclassified non-coding RNA is filed under the name soil metagenome. RNAcentral describes it as "partial contains 5.8S ribosomal RNA, internal transcribed spacer 2, and large subunit ribosomal RNA". The stretch from base 1 to 120 matches the Rfam family "5.8S ribosomal RNA", at positions 35 to 154 of the family's 154-position model. The record is from RNAcentral.